Molecule: RNase P RNA, 356 nt
Filed under: Oscillospiraceae bacterium
Lineage: Bacteria; Bacillati; Bacillota; Clostridia; Eubacteriales; Oscillospiraceae
Description: RNase P RNA component class A
Rfam family: Bacterial RNase P class A
About the family: Ribonuclease P (RNase P) is a ubiquitous endoribonuclease, found in archaea, bacteria and eukarya as well as chloroplasts and mitochondria.
Source: RNAcentral
UGAGCGGGAUGGACGGCAGCGUAUGAUCGCCGAAAGGCGCCAUAUGAGGAAAGUCCGGGCUCCAAGGGCAGGGAUAGCUGCUAACGGCAGCCGGGGGCGACCCUAGGGAAAGUGCAACAGAGAGAUACCGCCGGCCGAUUUUUUCGGUCGGUAAGGGUGGAAAGGCGAGGCAAGAGCUCACCGCCCCCUCCGGUAACGGAGGGGACCUGUAAACCCUAUCCGGAGCAACACCGCACAGGAGAUAAGAGGCCGGCCCGGCCUCCUCCGCAAAGGUGGCAUCAGCCGCGCGGGCGACCGGCGGCGCAGACAGAUUGUCGUCAUGACUACAGAACCCGGCUUAUAUGCCCGGUCACGGA